Molecule: long non-coding RNA, 403 nt
Organism: Sinocyclocheilus anshuiensis
Lineage: Eukaryota; Metazoa; Chordata; Actinopteri; Cypriniformes; Cyprinidae
Exons: 2
Source: RefSeq, a predicted model, not a curated record
CAUUCAGUCAGUUAGACUCAGAGAGUUUGUGCAGAAUCAGCCUCUGGAAGGACAACACCACAGCUGAAAUUAGACAUGCAUCCCCUAUUGAUCGGCAUAGUGACAGCCAACACAAGUUUGACUAUUGUCUACUGGAACUUUCUUCUGUCUCAGGCUUUCUGCAAGAAGAUCAAAGAUGCUCCACCACCUGAGGAAAUUCCCAUCUGAGUUGAGGCUUUGGUCGUGACCCUGGUGAUGAAGAGAAAGAAGAAGAACCACCAAAGUCCAUCUUUGGGAAAGUAGGGAUGAGGGAGAGAAAAUAAGAACAAAGGAGGAACAGACUGCCAUUUGACCCAGAAGUGGACGGAUAGAAAUUGUGCCAGGAUUUAAAUCUUCUGUAUUUCACAAAUCAUGAGGUUAAAAA